UUUAAAAAAAAGAAUGGUACAUGCAAAGGCCUGUGUACUUGGAGCACACGGCUGGUUCUGUCUUCACAGGGCCUUCAAGGAUCCUCACUCCUUUUCUGCUGAGAUGCUCACUGGUUCAUCACAGGCCGGCCUGUGGACUUGCACUUAGAUCAGCGUCCUGCCAGCCAGACACACCCACUCCCCACUCUCCUGUUGCUCUGGAAGCUCCCUCCCACCCAGUGCAUCACGGGAGACACCGAGAUGCCCUUAAGGAGCUUGCGUUCACCGAGGAGACAGAGCUGUUGAGUGGAGGGGCUGCAGAGAGAAGGGCCAGAGCCCCCAUCAGACCUCUGACCUAGGCCUGGACAGCCAGACUAAGUGGCUGAGAGGGCCCCCUGGGCCAGGGGAAUGCUGAAAAGAAAGGCCAGGAGGCAGCUCUUAGGGCUCCUAGGUGACCCUUGAGGAGAGCUGUCCUGCUAGUUCUGGAGGUCUGAGGCCUCAACGGCCACAUGCUUGAGGGAUGAGAGUCCUUGUCCCUACAGAUGACAUCACAUGUAUGCUGGUCGUGGCAGUUUGGGACCAGGGAGCCAGUGCUGGUGGAGAAGAAAGGGAGCCACAGAGGAUGGCGUCUUGGAGCAAGCGCUAGGAAGCACAGCCCCCACUCGGGGCCAGGAGGCAGGAGAGCAGGAGAUUCACACGGCCGAGGUGUGGGCAUGGAACUCCAGUUCUGCCUCGGACAUGCUGGGUGACGUGAAGCCUCAAUUUUCCCAUCUGUAAAGUGGGGGUCCACUGAAGGGCAUAAUGAGGGCUCCAGAUGAUGGGUGAGAAAGGCCUUGGCAAGAGCUCACGUGCCCUGCAGACACACGUGUUAGUGCAGAGACCUCUGAAGGAAGGCCUCCCCCAGGGCAGCCUCUCUUCCACACCAUCACAGGCGCGGGGCUUUCAACAGACAGUACUGCCCGCCUACUGCCUAGGAGGCCCGGCUGGGCCCCAGGUUCUCAGGGAUCCACCCGCCCCCACCCCGCACUAGCGCACCCCUUCCUCACCUCCCAGCCUCUCACAUCCCCUCGGGCAGCGCUCUGGGUGCAGCCAGCAGCCAGCAGCCCGGCCCCAGGGCGGCAGGCCGGGAUUCCAUGCACCUGGGACGAAAGCAGAGGUGGCCUGGAGAGCCUGCGAGCCCAAGCGCCGGUCCUACUCAGCCACACGUUUCCAGCGGGAUUUUCCGAGUUUCUUCGCCCCAGGUGGCGCGCACGUGACCCACGCCGAGCCAAUCGGCGUCUUCUGCAGGGAAUUUGCAAUCAGGACCCAAAGACUUCAGCUGAGGCCACCUGGCUUCACAUCUAGAGGCCACGUCGAGCCGGGAGCUGUUGACAGCUGUGCUUUCCGCUACCGACCGGAGGCGUGAGCAGAGCCAGGGGACAGCGGCAAGGCAAGGAAAUGGAAGCUCGGAGAAGUAGCCAUUUGUCCGAGGCCUGCUUUCGUCCACCUCUUCCGAAGGCUCAGCGCCACGGCUCCUGCUGCGUUUCAUUGGCCCCCUUGUCCACAAGUCACGGGU
Molecule: long non-coding RNA, 1534 nt
Organism: Prionailurus viverrinus (fishing cat)
Lineage: Eukaryota; Metazoa; Chordata; Mammalia; Carnivora; Felidae
Exons: 3
Source: RefSeq, a predicted model, not a curated record